This 408-nucleotide ribosomal RNA is filed under the name uncultured bacterium. RNAcentral describes it as "bacterial SSU rRNA". It matches the Rfam family "Bacterial small subunit ribosomal RNA", at positions 355 to 776 of the family's 1533-position model. The record is from RNAcentral.
UGGGGAAUAUUGCACAAUGGGGGGAACCCUGAUGCAGCAACGCCGCGUGAAGGACGACGGUUUUCGGAUUGUAAACUUCUAUCAAUAGGGACGAAGGAAAGUGACGGUACCUAAAUAAGAAGCCCCGGCUAACUACGUGCCAGCAGCCGCGGUAAUACGUAGGGGGCAAGCGUUAUCCGGAAUUACUGGGUGUAAAGGGUGAGUAGGCGGCACUGUAAGUAAGAUGUGAAAGCCUUAGGCUUAACCUGAGGAUUGCAUUAUAAACUGCAGAGCUAGAGUGCAGGAGAGGGAAGCGGAAUUCCUAGUGUAGCGGUGAAAUGCGUAGAUAUUAGGAAGAACACCAGUGGCGAAGGCGGCUUUCUGGACUGAAACUGACGCUGAGGCACGAAAGCGUGGGGAGCGAACAGG